AUACGGAGGGUGCAAGCGUUAAUCGGAAUUACUGGGCGUAAAGCGUACGUAGGCGGUUAGUUAAGUUAGAUGUGAAAGCCCCGGGCUUAACCUGGGAACUGCAUUUAAAACUGGCUAACUAGAGUUAAGUAGAGGGGAGUGGAAUUUCAGGUGUAGCGGUGAAAUGCGUAGAGAUCUGAAGGAACACCAGUGGCGAAGGCGACUCCCUGGACUUGAACUGACGCUGAGGUACGAAAGCGUGGGUAGCAAACGGGAUUAGAAACCCUAGUAGUCC
This 274-nucleotide ribosomal RNA is filed under the name uncultured bacterium. Its description in RNAcentral is "partial 16S ribosomal RNA". It matches the Rfam family "Bacterial small subunit ribosomal RNA", at positions 523 to 796 of the family's 1533-position model. The record is from RNAcentral.